This 1242-nucleotide ribosomal RNA is filed under the name Triticum aestivum (bread wheat). RNAcentral describes it as "partial small subunit ribosomal RNA". Lineage: Eukaryota; Viridiplantae; Streptophyta; Magnoliopsida; Poales; Poaceae. The record is from RNAcentral.
AUGGGACCUGGACGAACAGUCCGGCCACCAAGAAAUACCCCGCAAUCUCAAGGUCAACAUUCUGGGUGUACCUCAGCAUCAAAAUCCAGGAAGGUACGUGGGAUAAAUAAGGGAAAGGGCUUGGAGCGUUUGAUCAAAAGGGCAGGUCAUCCACUAAACUUGACCAUCUCCGAAGAGAGAAGACCUAUUGGAGAAAAUAAUGAAUUACUUUCCAGAGAGAUUGGACUUCUUACACGGUACCAUGCACCUAUCCAACGUGCCGGGUGGCAUAGUCUGACUGAGGAUGAUAAGGAGCCGUUGUAUGAACUUCUAAAGCUUAAGUUCAAUCUUGAUUUCACCCAAGAUCAUGUCAAAGGCUGUGUGGAUCUUCUAUUCUCUUCAAGCUACAAAAGUUUCCGUCACAAGUGUUAUGAACAUUAUGUAAAAUCUGGUGAUGAUGCUAGAAGCAAUCCAUAUCCUCCCCUUAUUGAUAAUAGAGUUGGAGACUGGAUUUGGCUCUGUGAUCAUUUUGAAACAGAAGAAUUUAAGAAACGGUCCACAAUUGGGAAGGCUAACCGCUCAAACCUACCUUAUGUUCACAAGAAGGGAACAAAGUCAUUUGUAGCGGUUCAACAUGAAUUAAAUUGUGGCGAUAUCAGACUAUACAAGGAGUGUUACUCUAGUGAUAAGAAGGGAUGGGCAUCAGAAGAUGCCAGGAAUAAACAUGAAGAAAUGUUGCAGAAGCAAAAGGAACCUAUAGAGGAGGGUGAAGUACCUUUAACAGAGCAACAGAUUUGCGAGCAUGUGCUAGGUAAGGCAUAUGGUUACGUCAGAGGUCGGGGUCAUGGACCAAAACCAAAUAGAAGGGCUUACUCAAGCGCAUCAAGCUCAACUCAGCAUGUAGUGGAAGAAUUGGCCUCUACAAAGGAGAUUGUUGCUACGCAGCAAACUCAAAUUGAGGCUCAACAAUCUCAACUUGAAGCUCAACAGAAGAAGAUCGAUUGGCUACAAAGUGUCGUGUCUAACUUGGUUGGCAUUUCACCUCCUAUGGACGGCACUAGUGCAACAGGGCUAGGUUUCACAACUGAGCGGCCAAUGCCAUCUGACGGAAUAGGUUCGCUGAUAUCUAACACUGUAGAAAGGAUGUCAAGUUUUCCAAGAUCAUUUGCAAGUCAUUUGAGGCCAGGAUAUAGACCUGCUCCAACUUCUUCUUCUGAUGGCAAUGGCUCUCUGGUGUCGGAUGGAGGGUCCAGGUAUUCAUGA